Molecule: ribosomal RNA, 292 nt
Filed under: uncultured bacterium
Lineage: Bacteria
Description: partial 16S ribosomal RNA
Rfam family: Bacterial small subunit ribosomal RNA
Source: RNAcentral
GUGCCAGCAGCCGCGGUAAUACGGAGGAUCCAAGCGUUAUCCGGAUUUAUUGGGUUUAAAGGGUGCGUAGGCGGCUUAUUAAGUCAGGGGUGAAAGACGGUGGCUCAACCAUCGCAGUGCCUUUGAUACUGAUGAGCUUGAAUACACUUGAGGUAGGCGGAAUGUGACAAGUAGCGGUGAAAUGCAUAGAUAUGUCACAGAACACCAAUUGCGAAGGCAGCUUACUAAGGUGCAAUUGACGCUGAGGCACGAAAGCGUGGGGAUCAAACAGGAUUAGAAACCCCGGUAGUCC